ACCUGGGAUGAGGUAGGGAUACCCGCUGAACUUAAGCAUAUCAAUAAGCGGAGGAAAAGAAACCAACAGGGAUUGCCUCAGUAACGGCGAGUGAAGCGGCAACAGCUCAAAUUUGAAAUCUGGUCCUUUCAGGUCCCGAGUUGUAAUUUGUAGAAGAUGCUUCGAGCGUGGCUCCGGUCUAAGUCCCUUGGAACAGGGCGUCAUAGAGGGUGAGAAUCCCGUAUGUGACUGGCUGCCUCCGUUCAUGUGAAGCUCUUUCGACGAGUCGAGUUGUUUGGGAAUGCAGCUCAAAAUGGGUGGUAAAUUUCAUCUAAAGCUAAAUAUUGGCCAGAGACCGAUAGCGCACAAGUAGAGUGAUCGAAAGAUGAAAAGCACUUUGGAAAGAGAGUUAAACAGUACGUGAAAUUGUUGAAAGGGAAGCGCUUGCAAUCAGACUUGCGCGCCGUUGAUCAUCCCCGGUUCUCCGGGGUGCACUCGGCGGCGCUCAGGCCAGCAUCGGUUUCGGUGGUCGGAUAAAGGCCUUGGGAAUGUGGCUCCUUUCGGGGAGUGUUAUAGCCCUCGGUGCAAUGCGGCCUACCGGGAC
Molecule: ribosomal RNA, 583 nt
Filed under: Helotiales sp. O_1_LILB_26_5d
Lineage: Eukaryota; Fungi; Ascomycota; Leotiomycetes; Helotiales
Description: eukaryotic LSU rRNA
Rfam family: Eukaryotic large subunit ribosomal RNA
Source: RNAcentral